CAGGUUGACCUGUACUACACCACAUGACUGAGUUACUGUACGGACAGGUAACACCUGUACUACACCACAUGACUGAGUUACUGACAGGUUACACCUGUACUACACCACAUGACUGAGUUACUGUACAGACAGGUUACACCUGUACUACACCACAUGACUGAGUUACUGUACAGACAGGUUACACCUGUACUACACCACAUGACUGAGUUACUGUACGGACAGGUUACACCUGUACUACACCACAUGACUGAGUUAAUGUACGGACAGGUUACACCUGUACUACACCACAUGACUGAGUUACUGUACGGACAGGUUACACCUGUACUACACCACAUGACUGAGUUACUGUACGGACAGGUUACACCUGUACUACACCACAUGACUGAGUUACUGUACGGACAGGUAACACCUGUAAUACACCACAUGACUGAGUUACUGUACAGACAGGUUACACCUGUACUACACCACAUGACUGAGUUACUGUACAGACAGGUUACACCUGUACUACACCACAUGACUGAGUUACUGUACGGACAGGUUACACCUAUACUACACCACAUGACUGAGUUACUGUACAGACAGGUUACACCUGUACUACACCACAUGACUGAGUUACUGUACGGACAGGUUACACCUGUACUACACCACAUGACUGAGUUACUGUACGGACAGGUUACACCUGUACUACACCACAUGACUGAGUUACUGUACGGACAGGUUACACCUGUACUACACCACAUGACUGAGUUACUGUACGGACAGGUUACACCUGUACUACACCACAUGACUGAGUUACUGUACGGAGAGGUUACACCUGUACUACACCACAUGACUGAGUUACUGUACGGACAGGUUACACCUGGACCUCUGGCCAGGUAAACACUAUAGCAAGUUAGUCCCAAAUGGCCCUCUAUUCCCUCGAAAGUGCGCUUCUGUUGACCAGAUUGCUACGGGUUAGUCCUACGGGCCCUGGUCUAAAGUAGUGUACUGUAUAGGAAAUGUAGUGCCAUUUUGGACACAUACCAUGUUCUGAGAACCACCUCGCUGACCGUUCACACUAGAUCCC
RNAcentral lists this long non-coding RNA (1066 nucleotides) under Salmo salar (Atlantic salmon). RNAcentral's name for it is "lncRNA (ENSSSAG00000115768.1)". The record is from RNAcentral. Lineage: Eukaryota; Metazoa; Chordata; Actinopteri; Salmoniformes; Salmonidae.